UUGAUCAAUUAUAAUUUAUAUAUUUUUAUCAAAAAAAUAAUAAAAUAAUAAAAAAAAUAUAUCUUUACCAAUUCUUGUUGUGCUAUGAAAAUUGGUGCUGUCAUCUUUCCCGCUUGUUUUGAAAGCCACAGGAUUAGCAGUAUCCUCAUGCUGUGAGUUGAGUCAGACGGGUGGGUUGGAUGUGGGCGACGCGUCAGCCAUAUUAUAAUGAGAGCGACCUGCACAACUGCUGUUAUAAUUUCUUUUCUUUUUCAAUAACUGAUGG
Molecule: long non-coding RNA, 265 nt
Filed under: Elaeis guineensis (African oil palm)
Lineage: Eukaryota; Viridiplantae; Streptophyta; Magnoliopsida; Arecales; Arecaceae
Description: long non-coding RNA (EGUI_LNC014811)
Source: RNAcentral